AGAACGAACGCUGGCGGCGUGCUUAACACAUGCAAGUCGAACGCGAAAGGGACUUCGGUCCUGAGUAAAGUGGCGCACGGGUGAGUAACGCGUAGAUAACCUGUCUUCAUGUCUGGAAUAAUACGCCGAAAGGGGUACUAAUACCGGAUAUUCUUGCUUUUCAUAAGUUAUGCAAGCAAAGGUGGCCUCUGCAUAUGCUACUGCAUGAAGAGGGGUCUGCGUACCAUUAGCUAGUAGGUGGGGUAAUGGCCUACCUAGGCGACGAUGGUUAGCGGGUCUGAGAGGAUGAUCCGCCACACUGGCACUGGAACACGGGCCAGACUCCUACGGGAGGCAGCAGUGAGGAAUAUUGCGCAAUGGGGGAAACCCUGACGCAGCGACGCCGCGUGAAGUGAGGAAGGCCUUCGGGUCGUAAAGCUCUGUCAAGAGGAAAGAAGUGUACAAUGGCUAAUACCUGUUGUAUUUGACGGUACCUCUAAAGGAAGCACCGGCUAACUCCGUGCCAGCCGCAGC
Molecule: ribosomal RNA, 513 nt
Filed under: uncultured bacterium
Lineage: Bacteria
Description: bacterial SSU rRNA
Rfam family: Bacterial small subunit ribosomal RNA
Source: RNAcentral